AGCAGUCGCCACGGUAAUACGAAGGGGGCUAGCGUUGUUCGGAAUUACUGGGCGUAAAGCGCACGUAGGCGGAUCGAUCAGUCAGGGGUGAAAUCCCAGGGCUCAACCCUGGAACUGCCUUUGAUACUGUCGAUCUGGAGUAUGGAAGAGGUGAGUGGAAUUCCGAGUGUAGAGGUGAAAUUCGUAGAUAUUCGGAGGAACACCAGUGGCGAAGGCGGCUCACUGGUCCAUUACUGACGCUGAGGUGCGAAAGCGUGGGGAGCAAACAGGAUUAGAUACCCCCGUAGUCCCUGUCUCUUAUAC
RNAcentral lists this ribosomal RNA (303 nucleotides) under uncultured bacterium. RNAcentral describes it as "partial 16S ribosomal RNA". It matches the Rfam family "Bacterial small subunit ribosomal RNA", at positions 507 to 807 of the family's 1533-position model. The record is from RNAcentral.